AUGGAAAUCGUGACUUGCAUGGCUCCAUAAUACGCACGAUGAUUAUGAGUCAUUUCUUUCCUGUUGGCUGUAGGCAAUUUGCGUUGCGCUCUGUUCUCUCUCCUUUUUGGUCAAACAGAAUCAAGCGUAGAACGAUGGAGCUCUGCGUGCGUAAUUGAAUCGCGACGGUGCCGCAGUUGAGUGCAGACUUUAUAGUGAAGUAGGCGAGCGAAACAAAAGAGGAACUAAAAGAAGAAGAAGAAAAUAGAAAAACCCUGAACACGCGUCGAACAAAAGAGACUCAAUGACCGGAAUGGCCUUAGAUAAUGGCAAUGAUCGUGUUGAAAUACAGUAAAUGUAAUACAGUCGACAGGUCAGACGGCCUCUCGUGUUUUUACGGACGAACGGAUGGAAGACUGCCGAGACCCGGGUGGCUUCUGGGGAGGUUCCGGACGGCCGUCGGAUAGGCGCGCGCGUCGCCGUCUGAAAUGACAGACACGCCUCUCUCUCUAUUAAAGAAGAACGCAGUUUUUAAAGUGGAAAAAGAUGGGGGUUUAAAAAAAUAAAAAAUAGGACCAAGAAAAAUGAGAAAUGGGCAAAAGUGAGAGAGCUACAGACGUAAUGUGUAACAGAACAGGACAUGUGACGUCAAUUACAGAAAAAUAGAAAACAAAAAUCAAAUAAGAAAACAAAACACGUGAUGUAUGUAUAUACAUAGAAAUGAAGCUGUGGUUUUUUUUUUUUAACUGACGCAACACAAGUCCGAACCCCGAAAGACACGAGCCUCGUCGAUAUUCAUCUGGCGGAAGAUGGAGAAAAAAAAAAAAAAGAAAUGUUGGGAGAAAUGGGACACGACAGCUGACG
Daphnia magna is the source of this 843-nucleotide long non-coding RNA. RefSeq lists it as uncharacterized. The transcript is spliced from 2 exons. Lineage: Eukaryota; Metazoa; Arthropoda; Branchiopoda; Diplostraca; Daphniidae. The record is from RefSeq and is a predicted model, not a curated record.